This 44-nucleotide ribosomal RNA is filed under the name rhizosphere bacterium GWR01. RNAcentral's name for it is "partial 23S ribosomal RNA". The record is from RNAcentral.
UCGCUGUUGGGUCGUUUGUUGACGGCUCUCUGGCGAUUUGCGCG